CGGGUGAGUAACGCGUGGGUAAUCUACCCUUGGAUUCGGGAUAACCCUUCGAAAGGAGUGCUAAUACCGGAUGAAGUCAUUUAGGCUGUGGUUUAGAUGAUGAAAGGUGGCCUCUCCGAGGAAGCUACCGUUUGGGGAUGAGCCCGCGUACCAUUAGCUUGUUGGUGGGGUAACGGCCUACCAAGGCGACGAUGGUUAGCUGGUCUGAGAGGAUGAUCAGCCACACUGGAACUGACACACGGUCCAGACUCCUACGGGAGGCAGCAGUGAGGAAUUUUGCGCAAUGGGGGGAACCCUGACGUAGCAACGCCGCGUGAGUGAAGAAGGCCUUCGGGUCGUAAAGCUCUGUCGAGUGGGAAGAACCUUCGUAUGUUGAAUAUACAUACGGACUGACGGUACCACAGAAGGAAGCACCGGCUAACUCCGUGCCAGCAGCCGCGGUAAUACGGAGGGUGCAAGCGUUAUUCGGAAUUAUUGGGCGUAAAGAGCGCGUAGGCGGCUUUGCAAGUCAGGUGUGAAAUCCCGGGGCUCAACCCCGGAAGAGCAUUUGAUACUGUGGAGCUUGAGUAUGGGAGAGGGAAGUGGAAUUCCUGGUGUAGCGGUGAAAUGCGUAGAUAUCAGGAGGAACACCGGUGGCGAAGGCGGCUUCCUGGACCAAUACUGACGCUGAGGCGCGAAGGCGUGGGGAGCAAACGGGAUUAGAUACCCUGGUAGUCCACGCCGUAAACAUUGAUCACUAGGUGGAGCGGGUAUUGACCCCUGCUGUGCCGGAGUUAACGCCAUUAA
Molecule: ribosomal RNA, 786 nt
Filed under: uncultured bacterium
Lineage: Bacteria
Description: bacterial SSU rRNA
Rfam family: Bacterial small subunit ribosomal RNA
Source: RNAcentral